UCGAACGGAAACGAUGGGAGCUUGCUCCCAGGCGUCGAGUGGCGGACGGGUGAGUAAUACUUAGGAAUCUACCCAGUAGCGGGGGACAACUCGAGGAAACUCGAGCUAAUACCGCAUACGCCCUACGGGGGAAAGCAGGGGAUCUUCGGACCUUGCACUAUUGGAUGAGCCUAAGUCGGAUUAGCUUGUUGGUGAGGUAAAGGCUCACCAAGGCGACGAUCCGUAGCUGGUCUGAGAGGACGAUCAGCCACACUGGGACUGAGACACGGCCCAGACUCCUACGGGAGGCAGCAGUGGGGAAUAUUGGACAAUGGGGGCAACCCUGAUCCAGCAAUGCCGCGUGUGUGAAGAAGGCCUGCGGGUUGUAAAGCACUUUCAGUAGAGAAGAAAAGCCUACGGUUAAUACCCGUAAGUCUUGACGUUACCUACAGAAGAAGCUCCGGCUAACUCCGUGCCAGCAGCCGCGGUAAUACGGAGGGAGCGAGCGUUAAUCGGAAUUACUGGGCGUAAAGCGCGCGUAGGCGGCUUUGUAAGUCGGAUGUGAAAGCCCUGGGCUCAACCUGGGAAUGGCAUUCGAUACUGCAGAGCUAGAGUAUGGUA
RNAcentral lists this ribosomal RNA (600 nucleotides) under uncultured bacterium. RNAcentral's name for it is "bacterial SSU rRNA". It matches the Rfam family "Bacterial small subunit ribosomal RNA", at positions 62 to 653 of the family's 1533-position model. The record is from RNAcentral.